This is a non-coding RNA of Cristinia sonorae, 87 nucleotides long. NCBI's taxonomy places the organism in Eukaryota, Fungi, Basidiomycota, Agaricomycetes, Agaricales, Stephanosporaceae. The record is from the annotation of a GenBank genome assembly.
GGCCGCCUGGCGAAAUGGCAUCGCGUCUGACUACGAUCGAAUCGUCGCGACAUCAGGAGAUUGCAGGUUCGAUCCCUGCGGUGGUCA